RNAcentral lists this transfer RNA (67 nucleotides) under Stylosomus ilicicola. Its description in RNAcentral is "tRNA-Tyr". The record is from RNAcentral. Lineage: Eukaryota; Metazoa; Arthropoda; Insecta; Coleoptera; Chrysomelidae.
GGUGAGAUGGCCGAAUAAAUAGGUGCUAAAUUGUAAAUUUAUGAAUGAAGUUGUACUUCUCUUACCA